This 291-nucleotide ribosomal RNA is filed under the name uncultured eukaryote. Its description in RNAcentral is "partial 18S ribosomal RNA". It matches the Rfam family "Eukaryotic small subunit ribosomal RNA", at positions 6 to 306 of the family's 1831-position model. The record is from RNAcentral.
GGUUGAUCCUGCCAGUAGUCAUAUGCUUGUCUCAAAGAUUAAGCCAUGCAUGUCUCAGUGUAAACUUAUAAACAGUGAAACUGCGAAUGGCUCAUUAGAACAGUUAUAGUUUAUUUGAUAUUCAUUGCUACAUGGAUAACCGUGGGAAUUCUAGGGCUAAUACAUGCGUAAAUACUCGACUUCUGGGAGAGUAGUGUUUAUUAGAUUAAAAACCAAAACCCGUGGUAACACGGACAAAUUGGAAUGAUAAUAACCGAACGAAUCGCUUCACGCGAUAAAUCAUUCAAGUUU